GACGAACGCUGGCGGCGUGCUUAACACAUGCAAGUCGAACGGAAAGGCCCUGCUUUUGUUGGGUGCUCGAUUGGCGAACGGGUCAGUAACACGUGAGUAACCUGCCCUUGACUUUGUGAUAACUUCAGGAAACUGGGGCUAAUACCGGAUAGGAUCUCCUGCUGCAUGGUGGGGGUUGGAAAGUUUCGGCGGUUGGGUAUGGACUCGCGGCUUAUCAGCUUGUUGGUGGGGUAGUGGCUUACCAAGGCUUUGACGGGUAGCCGGCCUGAGAGGGUGACCGGCCACAUUGGGACUGAGAUACGGACCAGACUCCUACGGGAGGCAGCAGUGGGGAAUAUUGCACAAUGGGCGGAAGCCUGAUGCAGCAACGCCGCGUGCGGGAUGACGGCCUUCGGGUUGUAAACCGCUUUCGCCUGUGACGAAGCGUGAGUGACGGUAAUGGGUAAAGAAGCACCGGCUAACUACGUG
This 468-nucleotide ribosomal RNA is filed under the name uncultured bacterium. RNAcentral's name for it is "partial 16S ribosomal RNA". It matches the Rfam family "Bacterial small subunit ribosomal RNA", at positions 28 to 507 of the family's 1533-position model. The record is from RNAcentral.